This 80-nucleotide transfer RNA is filed under the name Toxocara canis (dog roundworm). It matches the Rfam family "tRNA". Rfam says of the family: Transfer RNA (tRNA) molecules are approximately 80 nucleotides in length. Their secondary structure includes four short double-helical elements and three loops (D, anti-codon, and T loops). Further hydrogen bonds mediate the characteristic L-shaped molecular structure. tRNAs have two regions of fundamental functional importance: the anti-codon, which is responsible for specific mRNA codon recognition, and the 3' end, to which the tRNAs corresponding amino acid is attached (by aminoacyl-tRNA synthetases). tRNAs cope with the degeneracy of the genetic code in two manners: having more than one tRNA (with a specific anti-codon) for a particular amino acid; and 'wobble' base-pairing, i.e. permitting non-standard base-pairing at the 3rd anti-codon position. The record is from Rfam by way of RNAcentral. Lineage: Eukaryota; Metazoa; Nematoda; Chromadorea; Rhabditida; Toxocaridae.
UGAGCAGUAGCUCAGUGGUAGAGCUCCGCUUUGUAUGCGGGGAGACCUGGGAGACCUAGGUUCGAUUCCCGGCUGCAUUC